GACGAACGCUGGCGGCGUGCCUAAUACAUGCAAGUCGAACGAGAGCGACCGGUGCUUGCACUGGUCAAUCUAGUGGCGAACGGGUGAGUAACACGUGGGUAACCUGCCCAUCAGAGGGGGAUAACAUCCGGAAACGGAUGCUAAAACCGCAUAGGUCUUCGAACCGCAUGGUUUGAAGAGGAAAAGAGGCGCAAGCUUCUGCUGAUGGAUGGACCCGCGGUGCAUUAGCUAGUUGGUGAGGUAACGGCUCACCAAGGCCGUGAUGCAUAGCCGACCUGAGAGGGUGAUCGGCCACAUUGGGACUGAGACACGGCCCAAACUCCUACGGGAGGCAGCAGUAGGGAAUCUUCCGCAAUGGACGCAAGUCUGACGGAGCAACGCCGCGUGAGUGAAGAAGGUUUUCGGAUCGUAAAACUCUGUUGUUAGAGAAGAACAAGUGCUAGAGUAACUGUUAGCGCCUUGACGGUAUCUAACCAGAAAGCCACGGCUAACUGCGUG
RNAcentral lists this ribosomal RNA (498 nucleotides) under uncultured bacterium. Its description in RNAcentral is "partial 16S ribosomal RNA". It matches the Rfam family "Bacterial small subunit ribosomal RNA", at positions 28 to 507 of the family's 1533-position model. The record is from RNAcentral.